Molecule: long non-coding RNA, 626 nt
Filed under: Equus caballus (horse)
Lineage: Eukaryota; Metazoa; Chordata; Mammalia; Perissodactyla; Equidae
Description: lncRNA (ENSECAG00000055591.1)
Source: RNAcentral
CCCUAAUAGGCCUGUUCCUAGUGUUCAGAGAUCUCUAUUUAAACCACCCACCAUAGGUGGAGUUCAUUUAAAUUCUGUUUGGAUAGGACACCCCUCCACCUCCAGACCCUUUGAUAAAGUAUAAAAUAGUUGGAAGAGUGAAAGAUGCACCCAGAAAGACAAGUGAACUAACACGUAUGCCAUACCUGAUCAGGUACAGGACAUUGUUCAGAUUUCCAUAGGAACGAAAACAGGCAAGAAACAAUACAGUGAAUGUGGAUUAGAAUUAGGCAGAAAUGGGAAAGAGAACUGAAACAAACAAAGAAACAAGAGAGGGAUUCGUAUGGAGUGACUGAGAAGUUCAAGAAGAUGGAUGAAAGUUGGAGAAGGGAAGUUCCUUCAAAGCCACACUAAAGACUGUGGGGUUUUUUGUUUUUUUGUUUUUAUGGCCAUCUACAAAUAUUCUGCAUGAACUUUGGAGCCCCACAGACCUAACUGUAAAUCUGCCUUCCCCACUGAUUCCUUGUGUGACUUUGGACAAGUUUCUUCACCUGUGUGCCUUAGCUGUUUAUCCAUCCCCUAAAAUGGGAUGAGUGUGUAUUAUCCCGAGAAUAAUACAUGGCAAAUAAUAGUGAAAUAAAACACGG